CCUACGGGAGGCAGCAGUGAGGAAUAUUGGUCAAUGGGCGCGAGCCUGAACCAGCCAAGUAGCGUGAAGGAUGACUGCCCUACGGGUUGUAAACUUCUUUUAUAAAGGAAUAAAGUGAGGCACGUGUGCCUUUUUGUAUGUACCUUAUGAAUAAGGAUCGGCUAACUCCGUGCCAGCAGCCGCGGUAAUACGGAGGAUCCGAGCGUUGUCCGGAUUUAUUGGGUUUAAAGGGAGCGUAGAUGGGUUGUUAAGUCAGUUGUGAAAGUUUGCGGCUCAACCGUGGAAGUGCAAUUGAUACUGGCAGCCUUGAGUACAGUUGAGGUAGGCGGAAUUCGUGGUGUAGCGGUGAAAUGCUUAGAUAUCACGAAGAACUCCGAUUGCGAAGGCAGCUUACUAAACUGCAACUGACAUUGAUGCUCGAAAGUGUGGGUAUCAAACAGGAUUAGAUACCCGAGUAGUC
RNAcentral lists this ribosomal RNA (460 nucleotides) under uncultured bacterium. RNAcentral's name for it is "partial 16S ribosomal RNA". It matches the Rfam family "Bacterial small subunit ribosomal RNA", at positions 338 to 795 of the family's 1533-position model. The record is from RNAcentral.